Molecule: long non-coding RNA, 426 nt
Filed under: Homo sapiens (human)
Lineage: Eukaryota; Metazoa; Chordata; Mammalia; Primates; Hominidae
Description: non-protein coding lnc-TPBG-1:2
Source: RNAcentral
AGAAGAGUCCAGGAAGCAGGCUCAAAAAGACUGAUCAGAGAGGCAGGAAUUCAGAUCCUUUUCAUCUGUGACUCUGUCAUUUUCAACAUGUGGCUUCAAAAGUCUGCUUCAAGCCAGUGAAAAGAAAACAAAUAUGAAGAAUAGACUUUUCCAGGCCUGGAAGUGGCACUUAUGACUUUCACUCACAUCCCAACAGCCAGAACUCAGUUAUAUGGGAAAUGUAAUCUAACUAUGUGUCCAUGAAGAACAGGACAUCCGGGAAGCAAUUAGCAGUUUUUUCUACAAUGGUAUAGCAACUGGAUCAGUGUGGAGAAUUUACAGGGCAUCAAAGAAGAACCACUCUUCUUUACCCAACAUGGUGGUGUAGGUACACUAGAAACUCUUGGUGGAGGAAUAGGUCAGACCUAUAAGUGAACAGGAAGCCAG